GUGUCAGCCGCCGCGGUAAUACGGAAGGUCCAAGCGUUAAUCGGAAUUACUGGGCGUAAAGCGCGCGUAGGUGGUUUUUUAAGUUGGAUGUGAAAGCCCUGGGCUCAACCUAGGAACUGCAUCCAAAACUAGAUGACUAGAGUACGAAAGAGGGAAGUAGAAUUCACAGUGUAGCGGUGGAAUGCGUAGAUAUUGUGAAGAAUACCAAUGGCGAAGGCAGCUUCCUGGUUCUGUACUGACACUGAGGUGCGAAAGCGUGGGUAGCGAACAGGAUUAGAUACCCUGGUAGUCCACGCCGUAAACGAUGACAACUAGCUGUUGGGAGACAAGAUCUCUCAGUGGCGCAGCUAACGCUUUAAGUUGUCCGCCUGGGGAGUACGGCCGCAAGGUUAAA
Molecule: ribosomal RNA, 394 nt
Filed under: uncultured bacterium
Lineage: Bacteria
Description: bacterial SSU rRNA
Rfam family: Bacterial small subunit ribosomal RNA
Source: RNAcentral